CCGGUUAUCAAUUCUGAAAUCUAUCGAGCCCACGAGGUUUGAGGAUGUUUCCAAACCUCUAUCCAUCAAUGUAGGUACCAGACAAACAAGUCGGUCAGCCGAGGACCUCAAGGCACCGAUAGUGAAAUGAUUUUCUCCACAAUGGGUGAGGGACGAAGGUGGUAAAUAGGAUCAAUAUCCCAAUACCUGGAAGGAAAAAUAAUUAAGCACCUCGUCGC
RNAcentral lists this long non-coding RNA (218 nucleotides) under Elaeis guineensis (African oil palm). RNAcentral describes it as "long non-coding RNA (EGUI_LNC002790)". Lineage: Eukaryota; Viridiplantae; Streptophyta; Magnoliopsida; Arecales; Arecaceae. The record is from RNAcentral.